Molecule: ribosomal RNA, 322 nt
Filed under: uncultured eukaryote
Lineage: Eukaryota
Description: partial 18S ribosomal RNA
Rfam family: Eukaryotic small subunit ribosomal RNA
Source: RNAcentral
CCCUUAGAUGUUCUGGUCCGCACGCGUGCUACACUGAGUGGAUCAGCGGGUCAGCUUGCGCGAAAGCGUUUCCUAAUCUUUAAAUCCGCUCGUUAUGGGGAUUGACGGUUGCAAUUUUCUGUCAUGAACGAGGAAUACCUUGUAAGCGCGGGUCAUCAUCCCGCGCUGAAUACGUCCCUGCCCUUUGUACACACCGCCCGUCGCUCCUACCGAUUGGGUGUGCUGGUGAAAUGUUCGGAUCGGCCGUUUGUCGCGGUUUCCGCGUCAUGUGGCUGAGAAGUUCAUUAAACCCUCCCACCUAGAGGAAGGAGAAGUCGUAACA